ACAGUUUUUCCACAGACAAGAGGAAGGCUGAGGACAUGGGGGGCGAGGACCACAGGGUCCUGCUCUGUUUCAGUAGGGUGGAGAGUUACUCAAAGGGGGGAGGGUUCAAAAAGAAUCACAGUUGUCCAUGUUGGACCUUGAUCUAGUGAACUUUGGAUCCCUGAUGUUAAUGCCCUAACUGGCAAUGUCUGCUGAAACUAAGGUUUUGCUAUCUAUCAGAUUUAUAGGAUACACUGAAAUCUCUAAAUGUUUUUGUUUUUAAAGAAAGCAAAACACGAAUGAGCUAAGACUCAGAAGAGAGCAAAAGGAACAGGAUGUCAAAAGAAAAGUAGACAGAAGGCAAUCACAGAGGCUAAAACACCAUUAAUGAAUUAUCGAUAACAGAACAUCAGAAGAGUCAUGGCAGUGCCGGGGGACAGGCCUGGUGGACAGAAAGGCCGAGAGCAUCUCAACCACACUCGGACAACCUGACACCGCCACGCCGACUUCCUGGACGUUGUUUGUUACCCCCACCCGCCAAGCCCCAGUUUCCUCCUUUGUCCAACGAGGAUGCGUGUAAAUCAGUAAACGCACACGCGGGCCCA
This is a long non-coding RNA of Aethalodelphis obliquidens (Pacific white-sided dolphin), 584 nucleotides long. RefSeq lists it as uncharacterized. NCBI's taxonomy places the organism in Eukaryota, Metazoa, Chordata, Mammalia, Artiodactyla, Delphinidae. The record is from RefSeq and is a predicted model, not a curated record. The transcript is spliced from 2 exons.